AUGAGUUGUGGGUAGGGGUGAAAGGCCAAUCAAACUCCGUGAUAGCUGGUUCUCCCCGAAAUGCAUUUAGGUGCAGCGUCGCGUGUUUCACUCUGGAGGUAGAGCUACUGGAUGGCCGAUGGGCCCUACAAGGUUACUGACGUCAGCCAAACUCCGAAUGCCAGGGUGUGAGAGCGCGGCAGUGAGACUGCGGGGGAUAAGCUUCGUAGUCGAGAGGGAAACAGCCCAGAUCGCCGGCUAAGGCCCCUAAGCGUGUACUAAGUGGAAAAGGAUGUGGGAUCGCUGAGACAACCAGGAGGUUGGCUUAGAAGCAGCCACCCUUGAAAGAGUGCGUAAUAGCUCACUGGUCAAGUGGUCCUGCGCCGACAAUGUAGCGGGGCUCAAGUACACCGCCGAAGCCGCGGCAUUCGCAUAACACACGCAUUGUCCUGCGGGAUGGUGUGCAGUGGUGUGGAUGGGUAGGGGAGUCGGGGAGCUGUCAACCGAGCUGUGAUCCGAGGAUUUCCGAAUGGGGAAACCCAGCACGAGUGAUGUCGUGUUACCUGCCGGUGAAUAUAUAGCCGGUGUGGAGGGAACGUGGGGAAGUGAAACAUCUCAGUACCCACAGGAAGAGAAAACAACAUGUGAUUCCGUCAGUAGUGGCGAGCGAACGCGGAAGAGGCUAAACCAUGGGUGUGUGAUACCUGGCAGGGGUUGCACUCGUGGGGUUGUGGGGUUCAUUGUGUCGACGCUGCUGAGUCGGCCAACAGUAAGAAAUCAUGGUGUUAGUCGAAGUGGUCUGGAACGGCCUGUCGUAGAGGGUGAGAAUCCCGUAGACGAAAACGCUGUGACUGUUGAUGUGAAUACCCAAGUAGCACCGGGCCCGUGAAAUCCGGUGUGAAUCUGUCGGGACCACCCGAUAAGCCUGAAUACUCCCUGGUGACCGAUAGCGGACUAGUACCGUGAGGGAAAGAUGAAAAGUACCCCGGGAGGGGAGUGAAAUAGUACCUGAAACCGUGCGC
Molecule: ribosomal RNA, 1001 nt
Filed under: Staphylococcus aureus
Lineage: Bacteria; Bacillati; Bacillota; Bacilli; Caryophanales; Staphylococcaceae
Description: partial 23S ribosomal RNA
Rfam family: Bacterial large subunit ribosomal RNA (bases 1-511)
Source: RNAcentral